Long non-coding RNA from Dama dama (fallow deer), 609 nucleotides. RefSeq lists it as uncharacterized. Lineage: Eukaryota; Metazoa; Chordata; Mammalia; Artiodactyla; Cervidae. The transcript is spliced from 3 exons. The record is from RefSeq and is a predicted model, not a curated record.
UUGUCCAUUUGGAAAAAAAGAAUUUGGCUUAUAAUUUUAAAAAGUUGUAGAGCAUUAGUAGUAUCAUGCUGCCGGAGAAGGCAAUGGCACCCCACUCCAGCACUCUCGCAUGGAAAAUCCCAUGGACGGAGAGCCUGGUAGGCUGCAGUCCGUGAGGUCGCUAAGCUGGACACGACUGAGCGGCUUCACUUUCACUUUUCCUUUCAGGCAUUGGAGAAGGAAAUGGCAACCCACUCCAGUGUUCUUGCCUGGAGAAUCCCAGGGACGGGGGAGCCUGCUGGGCUGCCGUCUAUGGGGUCGCAUGGAGACACAACUGAAGCGACUUAGCAGCAGCAACGGCAGGAUCAUGCUGUUAGCUGAAAAGCCACAUAUAAUACUUAAACCAUACCUGCCUGAGGCCAAGACUGAGUACAACGGCACACUCAAACUAAAUCUCACAGUGACCACCAAUCACCCCAGAGCAGCGCCUGUCGGCCAGCUUUGGUAUGAACAGAGGUGUGCAUCCGAUGGCCCCGCUGACGCACAGGCAGCUGAAGAGGGGACUGGGCUGAAACACCUGGCCGUUCUGAUAAUGCACCCUGUUGAACUCACAUCCCACAGCCAUGAGAU